AUAGCGUAUAUUAAAGUUGUUGCAGUUAAAAAGCUCGUAGUUGAACUUCAGACCUGGCUGGAUGGUCUGCCUAGCGGUAUGUACUGUCCGGCUGGGCCUUACCUCUUGGUGAGCCGGCAUGCCCUUCACUGGGUGUGUCGGGGAACCAGGACUUUUACCUUGAGAAAAUUAGAGUGUUCAAAGCAGGCUUAUGCUCGAAUACAUUAGCAUGGAAUAAUAAAAUAGGACGUGCGGUUCUAUUUUGUUGGUUUCUAGAGUCGCCGUAAUGAUUAAUAGGGAUAGUUGGGGGCAUUAGUAUUCAGUUGCUAGAGGUGAAAUUCUUGGAUUUACUGAAGACUAACUACUG
Molecule: ribosomal RNA, 346 nt
Filed under: uncultured eukaryote
Lineage: Eukaryota
Description: SSU rRNA
Rfam family: Eukaryotic small subunit ribosomal RNA
Source: RNAcentral